Molecule: ribosomal RNA, 253 nt
Filed under: uncultured bacterium
Lineage: Bacteria
Description: partial 16S ribosomal RNA
Rfam family: Bacterial small subunit ribosomal RNA
Source: RNAcentral
UACGAAGGGGGCUAGCGUUGUCCGGAUUUAUUGGGCGUAAAGAGCGUGUAGGCGGCCAGGUAGGUCUGGUGUGAAAACUCGAGGCUUAACCUCGAGAUGUCAUCGGAAACCAUUUGGCUAGAGUCCGGAAGAGGAGAGUGGAAUUCCUGGUGUAGCGGUGAAAUGCGCAGAUAUCAGGAAGAACACCAAUGGCGAAAGCAGCUCUCUGGGACGGUACUGACGCUGAGACGCGAAAGCGUGGGGAGCGAACAGG